AUUGUAAAAGAGCUAUUUUAUUACUGUUUUAUUUUGUUGCUAUUCUUUCUCUUCCAGUAAGUGAAAUUUUUACAUUCCAUUGGUAGAAGAGAGAGGCAAAAUUGGAUCCUUGAAGACCCCUACCAUCACCUCUAUCAUUAUCCCUGCCCUGAUGACAAGAGGGAGCACGCUGUCACCAUCCUCCCGAUGUCGUGAAGAGAUUACAAUGUGGAACAGUCAUUUGGAUUUAGGAAAAGCCGGAAGUAGCCGUGAUGACAGAUCCAAUGAAUAACGUGGAUAAGGACAUGAUGUGAUGUUUUUCCAAACCUGUCUCUCACAAGGAUAUUACUUUAGGAUAAUCACUCCUCCUAAAAUCACUCCGGAAAGAGGACUUCUAGAGCUGCUUCCGAAAGUGGCAAGAACGGUGGGACCUACACUGAGAAUCCUGGAGAACUGUCAGUAUGGCUUGACAUCAGUGAACUGUGCACUUGAUUCUCGGAGGAAAUGGUAAGAAUGGAGGGAUUUCCAGAAUGCACAAAGAUUAUUUAUACCAUUGAAAGACACAUUGAGGAAUAAGGCACUUAAGUGUCCCACGGACAAGGGGUGAGCAGCCAGUAUUUUAUUUUUUCCUCCUGAACAUUAGGGGACAAGGAUCAACCUGACUCUUUGGCGUUGGCAAGGGAAUAGCAUCAGAUGUGCUGUGCUGAAAGAUAUCUGAGCUGUUGGCCAUAAUCUGGCAUAUCCUCAGAUCCAUUUGGAUUCUUGUUAAAAAGAAGCUUGUGGAACUACUUGGAAUUUUAAAGUUUUUGUUGGG
RNAcentral lists this long non-coding RNA (793 nucleotides) under Fukomys damarensis (Damara mole-rat). Its description in RNAcentral is "lncRNA (ENSFDAG00000032611.1)". The record is from RNAcentral. Lineage: Eukaryota; Metazoa; Chordata; Mammalia; Rodentia; Bathyergidae.